UACGUAGGUGGCAAGCGUUAUCCGGAUUUAUUGGGCGUAAAGGGAACGCAGGCGGUCUUUUAAGUCUGAUGUGAAAGCCUUCGGCUUAACCGGAGUAGUGCAUUGGAAACUGGGAGACUUGAGUGCAGAAGAGGAGAGUGGAACUCCAUGUGUAGCGGUGAAAUGCGUAGAUAUAUGGAAGAACACCAGUGGCGAAAGCGGCUCUCUGGUCUGUAACUGACGCUGAGGUUCGAAAGCGUGGGUAGCAAACUGG
This 253-nucleotide ribosomal RNA is filed under the name uncultured bacterium. Its description in RNAcentral is "partial 16S ribosomal RNA". It matches the Rfam family "Bacterial small subunit ribosomal RNA", at positions 524 to 776 of the family's 1533-position model. The record is from RNAcentral.